UACAUGUGGGGCAAGCGUUGUUCGGAAUUACUGGGCAUAAAGGGUGCGUAGGCGGCGCUCUACGUCUGUGGUGAAAGUCUUCGGCCCAACCGGAGAAUAGCCGUGGAUACGGGAGUGCUUGAGUGUGUAAGGGGUAGGGGGAACGAGCAGUGUAGCGGUGAAAUGCGUAGAUAUUGCUCGGAAGGCCAGCGCCGAAGGGGCCCUACUGGUACACAACUGACGCUGAGGCACGAAAGCGUGGGGAGCAAACAGG
This 253-nucleotide ribosomal RNA is filed under the name uncultured bacterium. Its description in RNAcentral is "partial 16S ribosomal RNA". It matches the Rfam family "Bacterial small subunit ribosomal RNA", at positions 524 to 776 of the family's 1533-position model. The record is from RNAcentral.